GAUGAACGCUGGCGGCGUGCUUAACACAUGCAAGUCGAACGAAGCACCUCUCCCGAAGAUUGACACAGCUUGCUGUAGAUUGAUUCAUUUGAGGUGACUGAGUGGCGGACGGGUGAGUAACGCGUGUGUAACCUGCCUCAUAGAGGGGGACAACAGUUGGAAACGACUGCUAAUACCGCAUAGUAAGAAGAAUUCGCAUGUUUUCUUCUUGAAAGAUUUAUCGCUAUGAGAUGGACCCGCGUCUGAUUAGCUAGUUGGUAAGGUAACGGCUUACCAAGGCGACGACCAGUAGCCGGCUUGAGAGAGUGAACGGCCACAUUGGGACUGAGACACGGCCCAAACUCCUACGGGAGGCAGCAGUGGGGAAUAUUGCACAAUGGGGGAAACCCUGAUGCAGCGACGCCGCGUGAGUGAAGAAGUAUUUCGGUAUGUAAAGCUCUAUCAGCAGGGAAGAUAAUGACGGUACCUGACGAAGAAGCCCCGGCUAACUACGUG
RNAcentral lists this ribosomal RNA (495 nucleotides) under uncultured bacterium. Its description in RNAcentral is "partial 16S ribosomal RNA". It matches the Rfam family "Bacterial small subunit ribosomal RNA", at positions 28 to 507 of the family's 1533-position model. The record is from RNAcentral.